RNAcentral lists this unclassified non-coding RNA (336 nucleotides) under soil metagenome. RNAcentral describes it as "partial contains 5.8S ribosomal RNA, internal transcribed spacer 2, and large subunit ribosomal RNA". The stretch from base 1 to 120 matches the Rfam family "5.8S ribosomal RNA", at positions 35 to 154 of the family's 154-position model. The record is from RNAcentral.
GAUGAAGAACGUAGCGAAAUGCGAUAAGUAAUGUGAAUUGCAGAAUUCAGUGAAUCAUCGAAUCUUUGAACGCACAUUGCGCCCGGUAGUAUUCUGCCGGGCAUGCCUGUUCGAGCGUCAUUUCAACCAUCAAGCCCCCGGCUUGUGUUGGGGACCUGCGGCUGCCGCAGGCCCUGAAAACCAGUGGCGGGCUCGCUAGUCACUCCGAGCGUAGUAAUACAUCUCGCUCAGGGCGUGCUGCGGGUUCCGGCCGUUAAAAAAGCCUUAUUUACCCAAGGUUGACCUCGGAUCAGGUAGGAAGACCCGCUGAACUUAAGCAUAUCAAUAAGCGGAGGA